GAUGAACGCUAGCGGGAGGCCUAACACAUGCAAGCCGAGCGGUAUUGUUUCUUCGGAAAUGAGAGAGCGGCGUACGGGUGCGUAACACGUGUGCAACCUGCCUUUAUCUGGGGGAUAGCCUUUCGAAAGGAAGAUUAAUACUCCAUAAUAUAUUGAACGGCAUCGUUUAAUAUUGAACGCUCCGGCGGAUAGAGAUGGGCACGCGCAAGAUUAGCUAGUUGGUGAGGUAACGGCUCACCAAGGCGAUGAUCUUUAGGGGGCCUGAGAGGGUGAUCCCCCACACUGGUACUGAGACACGGACCAGACUCCUACGGGAGGCAGCAGUGAGGAAUAUUGGUCAAUGGGUGCAAGCCUGAACCAGCCAUCCCGUGUGAAGGACGACUGCCCUAUGGGUUGUAAACUUCUUUUGUAUAGGGAUAAACCUACCCUCGAGAGGGUAGCUGAAGGUACUAUACGAAUAAGCACCGGCUAACUCCGUG
Molecule: ribosomal RNA, 479 nt
Filed under: uncultured bacterium
Lineage: Bacteria
Description: partial 16S ribosomal RNA
Rfam family: Bacterial small subunit ribosomal RNA
Source: RNAcentral